AUUGCCCUAGUAACGGCGAGUGAAGCGGCAACAGCUCAAAUUUGAAAUCUGGCCUUCUGGUCCGAGUUGUAAUUUGUAGAGGAUGAUUUUGGUUAGGUACCUUCCGAGUUCCUUGGAACAGGACGCCUUAGAGGGUGAGAGCCCCGUACGGUUGGAUGCCGAGCCUUUGUAAAUCUCCUUCGACGAGUCGAGUAGUUUGGGAAUGCUGCUCUAAAUGGGAGGUAAAUUUCUUCUAAAGCUAAAUACCGGCCAGAGACCGAUAGCGCACAAGUAGAGUGAUCGAAAGAUGAAAAGCACUUUGAAAAGAGGGUUAAAUAGUACGUGAAAUUGUUGAAAGGGAAGGAUUUAUGACCAGACCUUUGCCUUGCGGAUCAUCCGGUGUUCUCACCGGUGCACUUCGCUUGGUUGAGGCCAGCAUCAGUUUUGGCGGCGGGAUAAAGACUUCAGGAACGUGACUCCCCCGGGAGUGUUAUAGCCUGCUGUGUAAUACCGCCGCUGGGACUGAGGACCGCGCUUCGGCUAGGAUGCUGGCAUAAUGGUCAUCAAUCACCCGUCUUGAAACACGGACCAAGGAGUCGAACAUUUAUGCGAGUUUUUGGGUGUUAAACCCUCAAGCGUAAUGAAAGUGAACGGAGGUGAGAGCCCUUACGGGUGCAUCAUCGACCGAUCCUGAUGUCUUCGGAUGGAUUUGAGUAAGAGCAUAACUGUUCGGACCCGAAAGAUGGUGAACUAUGCGUGGAUAGGGUGAAGCCAGAGGAAACUCUGGUGGAGGCUCGCAGCGGUUCUGACGUGCAAAUCGAUCGUCAAAUCUGCGCAUGGGGCGAAAGACUAAUCGAACCAUCU
This 843-nucleotide ribosomal RNA is filed under the name Microdochium majus. RNAcentral's name for it is "partial large subunit ribosomal RNA". It matches the Rfam family "Eukaryotic large subunit ribosomal RNA", at positions 74 to 945 of the family's 3401-position model. Lineage: Eukaryota; Fungi; Ascomycota; Sordariomycetes; Xylariales; Microdochiaceae. The record is from RNAcentral.